This 253-nucleotide ribosomal RNA is filed under the name uncultured bacterium. RNAcentral describes it as "partial 16S ribosomal RNA". It matches the Rfam family "Bacterial small subunit ribosomal RNA", at positions 524 to 776 of the family's 1533-position model. The record is from RNAcentral.
UACGUAGGGCGCGAGCGUUGUCCGGAAUUAUUGGGCGUAAAGAGCUCGUAGGCGGUCUGUCGCGUCGGCUGUGAAAACUCGGGGCUCAACUCCGAGCUUGCAGUCGAUACGGGCAGGCUAGAGUUCGGCAGGGGAGACUGGAAUUCCUGGUGUAGCGGUGAAAUGCGCAGAUAUCAGGAGGAACACCGGUGGCGAAGGCGGGUCUCUGGGCCGAUACUGACGCUGAGGAGCGAAAGCGUGGGGAGCGAACAGG